Molecule: ribosomal RNA, 402 nt
Filed under: uncultured Dyella sp.
Lineage: Bacteria; Pseudomonadati; Pseudomonadota; Gammaproteobacteria; Lysobacterales; Rhodanobacteraceae
Description: bacterial SSU rRNA
Rfam family: Bacterial small subunit ribosomal RNA
Source: RNAcentral
GGACCUGAGGAAUAAACACCGGCUAACGACGUACCAGCAGCCACGGUAAAACGAAGGGUGCAAGCGUUAAUCGGAAUUACUGGGCGUAAAGCGUGCGUAGGCGGUGGUUUAAGUCUGCUGUGAAAUCCCCGGGCUCAACCUGGGAAUGGCAGUGGAACUGGAUCGCUAGAGUGUGAUAGAGGAUGGUGGAAUUCCCGGUGUAGCGGUGAAAUGCGUAGAGAUCGGGAGGAACAUCAGUGGCGAAGGCGGCCAUCUGGAUCAACACUGACGCUGAGGCACGAAAGCGUGGGGAGCAAACAGGAUUAGAUACCCUGGUAGUCCACGCCCUAACCGAUGCGAACUGGAUGUUGGUCUCAACUCGCAGAUCAGUGUCCAAGCUAACGCGUUAAGUUCGCCGCCUGG